Molecule: ribosomal RNA, 491 nt
Filed under: uncultured bacterium
Lineage: Bacteria
Description: partial 16S ribosomal RNA
Rfam family: Bacterial small subunit ribosomal RNA
Source: RNAcentral
UUGAACGCUGGCGGCAUGCUUUACACAUGCAAGUCGAACGGUAACAGGCCUUCGGGUGCUGACGAGUGGCGAACGGGUGAGUAAUGCAUCGGAACGUGCCCAGAGGUGGGGGAUAACGCAGCGAAAGCCGUGCUAAUACCGCAUGUGAUCUGAGGAUGAAAGCGGGGGACCAAGCAGCAAUGUUUGGCCUCGCGCCUCUGGAGCGGCCGAUGUCAGAUUAGGUAGUUGGUGGGGUAAAGGCCUACCAAGCCGACGAUCUGUAGCUGGUCUGAGAGGACGACCAGCCACACUGGGACUGAGACACGGCCCAGACUCCUACGGGAGGCAGCAGUGGGGAAUUUUGGACAAUGGGCGCAAGCCUGAUCCAGCAAUGCCGCGUGCGGGAAGAAGGCCUUCGGGUUGUAAACCGCUUUUGUACGGAACGAAAAGGCUCUGGCUAAUACCUGGGGCUGAUGACGGUACCGUAAGAAUAAGCACCGGCUAACUACGUG